This 262-nucleotide long non-coding RNA is filed under the name Ananas comosus (pineapple). RNAcentral describes it as "long non-coding RNA (ACOM_LNC044803)". Lineage: Eukaryota; Viridiplantae; Streptophyta; Magnoliopsida; Poales; Bromeliaceae. The record is from RNAcentral.
UAUAUAUACAUGAGAGUAGAUGAUGUAUAGGAUGUGAGGAGCUUUUGGGAAAAAUGUAAAACUUUAUGUUUAUGUUUUGGGAGAAUGAAAAGUAAUCAAAUGUAUUAACUGUUGAAUGUGAUGUAUAGUUAGAGUAUCUCUCUUUUGUUCACUCGUGUAUGCUUGUGAUGCUUGCUCUUAUUUGUUUAGCACUGGUUGUGCUCUCGCUGUUGUUGUUAAUUGUGUAUGUAUUUCAAGUUAUUUUUCCUGGGCACUUGUUGUA